GAAUGCUGACAUAAGUAACGAUAAAGCGGGUGAAAAGCCCGCUCGCCGGAAGACCAAGGGUUCCUGUCCAACGUUAAUCGGGGCAGGGUGAGUCGACCCCUAAGGCGAGGCCGAAAGGCGUAGUCGAUGGGAAACAGGUUAAUAUUCCUGUACUUGGUGUUACUGCGAAGGGGGGACGGAGAAGGCUAUGUUGGCCGGGCGACGGUUGUCCCGGUUUAAGCGUGUAGGCUGGUUUUCCAGGCAAAUCCGGAAAACCAAGGCUGAGGCGUGAUGACGAGGCACUACGGUGCUGAAGCAACAAAUGCCCUGCUUCCAGGAAAAGCCUCUAAGCAUCAGGUAACAUCAAAUCGUACCCCAAACCGACACAGGUGGUCAGGUAGAGAAUACCAAGGCGCUUGAGAGAACUCGGGUGAAGGAACUAGGCAAAAUGGUGCCGUAACUUCGGGAGAAGGCACGC
This 457-nucleotide ribosomal RNA is filed under the name Escherichia coli. Its description in RNAcentral is "partial 23S ribosomal RNA". It matches the Rfam family "Bacterial large subunit ribosomal RNA", at positions 1292 to 1751 of the family's 2925-position model. Lineage: Bacteria; Pseudomonadati; Pseudomonadota; Gammaproteobacteria; Enterobacterales; Enterobacteriaceae. The record is from RNAcentral.